AUCCUGGCUCAGGAUGAACGCUAGCUACAGGCUUAACACAUGCAAGUCGAGGGGCAGCAUUGGGAUAGCUGCUAUCCAGAUGGCGACCGGCGCACGGGUGAGUAACGCGUAUCCAACCUUCCCUAUAGUAGAGAAUAGCCCGGCGAAAGUCGGAUUAAUGCUCUAUGUUGUGUUUUGAGGACAUCUGACGAACACCAAAGGUUCACCGCUAUAGGAUGGGGAUGCGUCUGAUUAGCUUGUUGGCGGGGUAACGGCCCACCAAGGCGACGAUCAGUAGGGGUUCUGAGAGGAAGGUCCCCCACAUUGGUACUGAGACACGGACCAAACUCCUACGGGAGGCAGCAGUGAGGAAUAUUGGUCAAUGGGCGAGAGCCUGAACCAGCCAAGUAGCGUGCAAGGAUGACUGCCCUAUGGGUUGUAAACUGCUUUUAUCAGGGAAUAAAGUGCGGCACGUGUGCCGUUUUGUAUGUACCUGAUGAAUAAGGACCGGCUAAUUCCGUGCCAGCCGCCGC
RNAcentral lists this ribosomal RNA (512 nucleotides) under uncultured bacterium. Its description in RNAcentral is "bacterial SSU rRNA". It matches the Rfam family "Bacterial small subunit ribosomal RNA", at positions 16 to 518 of the family's 1533-position model. The record is from RNAcentral.